Molecule: ribosomal RNA, 493 nt
Filed under: uncultured bacterium
Lineage: Bacteria
Description: bacterial SSU rRNA
Rfam family: Bacterial small subunit ribosomal RNA
Source: RNAcentral
AGUGAACGCUGGCGGCAGGCCUAAUACAUGCAAGUCGAACGGCAGCACAGCAGAGCUUGCUCUGUGGGUGGCGAGUGGCGGACGGGUGAGGAAUACGUGGGAAUCUGCCCAGUCGUGGGGGAUAACGUAGGGAAACUUACGCUAAUACCGCAUGCGCCCUUCGGGGAAAGCCGGGGACCUUCGGGCCUGGCGCGAUUGGAUGAGCCCACGUCGGAUUAGCUAGUUGGCGGGUAAAGGCCCACCAAGGCGACGAUCCGUAGCUGGUCUGAGAGGAUGAUCAGCCACACUGGAACUGAGACACGGUCCAGACUCCUACGGGAGGCAGCAGUAGGGAAUAUUGGACAAUGGGCGCAAGCCUGAUCCAGCCAUGCCGCGUGAGUGAAGAAGGCCCUCGGGUUGUAAAGCUCUUUUGUCCGGAAAGAAAAGCGCCGGGUUAAUACCCUGGUGUCCUGACGGUACCGGAAGAAUAAGCACCGGCUAACUUCGUGCCAGC